This is a long non-coding RNA of Oncorhynchus tshawytscha (Chinook salmon), 1299 nucleotides long. NCBI's taxonomy places the organism in Eukaryota, Metazoa, Chordata, Actinopteri, Salmoniformes, Salmonidae. The record is from Ensembl.
GUUUUACUGGUUCUGGUCAUGCCCUCUACUUUAUGAAUAAACCCUGCCCUUUUCUUGGACUACAAGUCAUGAUGGGAUAGACUCUAUCUCAAUCAAACCCCAUCAAUCCCUGUGGUAUACAAUGGAAACAGCACAUGUCAGCUGUGUAUAUUAAGGGCAGCUUGUGAUGUAUGGGGAUGUUGGAUAGAAAUAGUUUUACUCACAAUAGGAUAGUGCCACCCAUUGGAUUGACAGUAUACUGCAGUCUAAUUCUCAGUCCAAAAUCUUCUGUUCGCUCUCACACGACUGAAAGAAUACUACAGUCGAUAGUACAAUAUUAACCAAAGGACAAAAAAACAUGAGUUAUGUAAUCAACACGAUACCACAUAUACGUCCAGUACAGUAUAUAAGUGAUGAUAGAAGUAAAUAUCAGGUGUAAACAGUACUUGAUAAUGGCAGGAACUCACUGGAACUAAGUACAGGCACCUCUAAUGUUAUUCUGCUUGUGUUCCUCUUCCUCCUGUUGAAUAUAACCUCAGAAGUAUUGCACCUACAUAUAAACGCUACCAGCACCCAAAAUGAGUAGCGGCCCGUAUUUCAGUCCAAGUCAAGCACGGAGUGUAAAAUGAGACCUGUAUGAUCACAGAACACUUGUGGCUGAACCUGUGGGAUGUCUGUUGUUCACCUAAAAAAAAUCUACAUUGACAUUCAGUGCAGAAAGAACAACACUCACACAAACACACUCAGGAUGCAUCCCAAAUGACACCCUAUUCGCUUUUUAGUGCACUACUUUUGACCAGGGCCAAUUGGGCACCAUGCACUAUGUAGGGAAUAGGGUGCCAUUUGGGACUCUUGCUCAGUCUGCUCAGUGUAUAAAUCACCUCCCAAAUAUUGUGGGGGCUGGCUCUUUCUGUGGCUCCACGAUUAACCUUCAGUCAUAUAUCAUCAGACACUCCCUUCUGAGACAGGCAGGCAGGCAGGCAGCCAGACAGAUAGUCAGACAGACAGAAACAUAGUCAGACAGACAGAUAGACAGAGUCAGACAGACACAGGCAGACAAACAGAAACAGGCAGACAGACAGACACACAGGCAGAAAGACAGAUAGACAGAGUCAGACAGACACAGGCAGACAGCCAGACACAGAGGCAGACAAACAGAAACAGGCAGACAGACAGACACAUACAGACAGACACAGUGGCAGACAGACAGAUAAACACAUAGGCAGACAGACAGUCAUACAGUACAGUAUGGACCUCACCACCGGGGGAACAUUGUGUAGAUCUCAAAUGGCUCCCUACAUAUGCCCUAUGGGUCCUAUG